UAAAGUUUUGGUCCUAAACUUAAUGCUAUUUUUAAUUAAAAUUACACAUGCAAGCAUCCGCACACCAGUGAAAAAGCCCUCAAUAGUACCAACGGAGCAGGUAUCAGGCACGAGCCACUCAGCCCAAGACACCUAGCCAUGCCACACCCACACGGGACUUCAGCAGUGAUAAACAUUAAGCAAUGAGCGACACGACUUCCCCUCUAAAGCUCGACUUAGUUAUAAUUAACAGGGCCGGUUAACCUCGUGCCAGCCACCGCGGUUAUACGAGGGGCCCAAAAUAGCAACCAACGGCGUAAAUCGUGACUAGAAUAACUUUUAAUCUCCAAGAGGAUAAACUAUGGCCUAACCGUAAAACACAAGACCAAAAGAACCCCCUCCCCUCUUAAUACAAAAAAAUUUGACCCCACGAAAACUAAGAAACAAACUAGGAUUAGAUACCCUACUAUGCUUAGACGUCAAUACGGCACCACACACACACCCCAGUGCCCGCCAGAGGAUUACUAGCGAAAAGCUUAAAACUCAAAGGACUUGGCGGUGCUCCACACCCGACUUAGAGGAGCCUGUCCUAUAAUCGAUAAUCCACGAUAAACCUUACCAUUUUUUGCCACAUCAGCCUAUAUACCGCCGUCGCCAACCUACCUCAUGAGAGCCAAAAAGUAGAUACAACAGUACAACAACUAAAACGUCAGGUCAAGGUGUAGCUA
Molecule: ribosomal RNA, 707 nt
Filed under: Cyclura pinguis
Lineage: Eukaryota; Metazoa; Chordata; Lepidosauria; Squamata; Iguanidae
Description: partial 12S ribosomal RNA
Rfam family: Bacterial small subunit ribosomal RNA
Source: RNAcentral